This 622-nucleotide ribosomal RNA is filed under the name Akkermansia muciniphila. RNAcentral's name for it is "bacterial SSU rRNA". It matches the Rfam family "Bacterial small subunit ribosomal RNA", at positions 37 to 680 of the family's 1533-position model. The record is from RNAcentral. Lineage: Bacteria; Pseudomonadati; Verrucomicrobiota; Verrucomicrobiia; Verrucomicrobiales; Akkermansiaceae.
UGGCGGCGUGGUUAAGACAUGCAAGUCGAACGAGAGAAUUGCUAGCUUGCUAAUAAUUCUCUAGUGGCGCACGGGUGAGUAACACGUGAGUAACCUGCCCCCGAGAGCGGGAUAGCCCUGGGAAACUGGGAUUAAUACCGCAUAGCAUCGAAAGAUUAAAGCAGCAAUGCGCUUGGGGAUGGGCUCGCGGCCUAUUAGUUAGUUGGUGAGGUAACGGCUCACCAAGGCGAUGACGGGUAGCCGGUCUGAGAGGAUGUCCGGCCACACUGGAACUGAGACACGGUUCAGACACCUACGGGUGGCAGCAGUCGAGAAUCAUUCACAAUGGGGGAAACCCUGAUGGUGCGACGCCGCGUGGGGGAAUGAAGGUCUUCGGAUUGUAAACCCCUGUCAUGUGGGAGCAAAUUAAAAAGAUAGUACCACAAGAGGAAGAGACGGCUAACUCUGUGCCAGCAGCCGCGGUAAUACAGAGGUCUCAAGCGUUGUUCGGAAUCACUGGGCGUAAAGCGUGCGUAGGCUGUUUCGUAAGUCGUGUGUGAAAGGCGCGGGCUCAACCCGCGGACGGCACAUGAUACUGCGAGACUAGAGUAAUGGAGGGGGAACCGGAAUUCACGGUGUAGCA